GACCACAUAAAACAUUAAUAAAGCCGAUGUGAUCACACACAGGAAGCACCACAGCAGCACACAGUCCAGAGGUUCAGUUAGCAGCUACCUGUCAAUCAGAGGCCACGCCCCUAACAAUGCAGAUCAGUAACUGUGGACACAGUCAGGCAGAGAAACAGCAAAGACACAGCUGUUUAAAGGGAACAGAAAUCUAUGAAUCGACAGCUUUGAAGUGUUUCAGGCCUCGUUUAUUAACCUGGACCAAAGACCAGCAGAUGACCGUGGCCACACCUCCAUCGCCGUUUUCUCCUUACAGGAAGUAGAACUGCUGAGGUCACAAAGAGCGCACAAAUCCAGACACAACUUCAUAAACGGUCCAAUUAGCACAAAGUUAAAAAUGAAAUCCAUCUCACAAUAAAAGUAAAGUGUUUGUUGGGGGCGUGGCCUCUUGGUGGUCAUUCACUAUUCAAACACCAAAACUUUAUUAAAACUCAUAAAAGUCCAUCGGCACCAUGACAUCUGAAACACUUCCUGUGGACAGAUGGAGGUCACACAGCACGAUCUCACUGCAAACAUCAGCUCAUCCUAAACACCCGUCAGCAUC
Molecule: long non-coding RNA, 583 nt
Organism: Oreochromis niloticus (Nile tilapia)
Lineage: Eukaryota; Metazoa; Chordata; Actinopteri; Cichliformes; Cichlidae
Exons: 3
Source: RefSeq, a predicted model, not a curated record